CCUACGGGAGGCAGCAGUAGGGAAUAUUGCUCAAUGGGCGCAAGCCUGACCCAGCAACGCCGCGUGAAGGAAGAAGGCUCUCGGGUUGUAAACUUCUUUUAUCAGGGACGAAGCAAGUGACGGUACCUGAUGAAUAAGCCACGGCUAACUACGUGCCAGCAGCCGCGGUAAUACGUAGGUGGCAAGCGUUAUCCGGAUUUACUGGGUGUAAAGGGCGUGUAGGCGGGAAAGCAAGUCAGAUGUGAAAACCAUGGGCUCAACCUGUGGCCUGCAUUUGAAACUGUUUUUCUUGAGUACUGGAGAGGCAGACGGAAUUCCUAGUGUAGCGGUGAAAUGCGUAGAUAUUAGGAGGAACACCAGUGGCGAAGGCGGUCUGCUGGACAGCAACUGACGCUGAGGCGCGAAAGCGUGGGGAGCAAACAGGAUUAGAUACCCGGGUAGUC
Molecule: ribosomal RNA, 443 nt
Filed under: uncultured bacterium
Lineage: Bacteria
Description: partial 16S ribosomal RNA
Rfam family: Bacterial small subunit ribosomal RNA
Source: RNAcentral